UACAGAGGUCCCAAGCGUUGUUCGGAUUCACUGGGCGUAAAGGGUGCGUAGGUGGCCGGGUAAGUCUGACGUGAAAUCUCCGAGCCUAACUCGGAAACUGCAUCGGAUACUAUCCGGCUUGAGGAUUGGAGGGGGGACUGGAAUACUUGGUGUAGCAGUGAAAUGCGUAGAUAUCAAGUGGAACACCAGUGGCGAAAGCGGCUCUCUGGAACGGUACUGACGCUGAGACGCGAAAGCGUGGGGAGCGAACAGG
Molecule: ribosomal RNA, 253 nt
Filed under: uncultured bacterium
Lineage: Bacteria
Description: partial 16S ribosomal RNA
Rfam family: Bacterial small subunit ribosomal RNA
Source: RNAcentral